Molecule: unclassified non-coding RNA, 276 nt
Filed under: uncultured fungus
Lineage: Eukaryota; Fungi
Description: sequence contains ITS2
Rfam family: 5.8S ribosomal RNA (bases 1-52)
Source: RNAcentral
AACGCACAUUGCGCCCUUUGGUAUUCCGAAGGGCAUGCCUGUUCGAGCGUCAUUAUCACCCCUCAAGCCCCCGUGCUUGGUGUUGGACGGUUUGGUCGGACGACGACCCCUCCCAAAGACAAUGACGGCGGCCCGUGGAGCCCCCGGUACACUGAGCUUCUUAACCGAGCACGUACCGGACGAGGGCGCCCGGGGCCCGGUCUUCUCCCGCCCGUGUGGUGGGAAAAAUCUCAAGUUUUUGACCUCGGAUCAGGUAGGGAUACGCGCUGAACUUAA